ACAGCACCGCCACGGUAAUACGAGGGGGGCAAGCGUUGUUCAGAAUUAUUGGGCGUAAAGGGUGCGUAGGCGGUUUGACAAGUCUUAUGUGAAAUCUUCGGGCUCAACCCGAAGCCUGCAUGGGAAACUGUCGAGCUUGAGUAUGGGAGAGGUGAGUGGAAUUUCCGGUGUAGCGGUGAAAUGCGUAGAUAUCGGAAGGAACACCUGUGGCGAAAGCGGCUCUUUGGUCUGUAACUGACGCUGAGGCGCGAAAGUGUGGGGAGCAAACAGGAUUAGAUACCCCCGUAGUCCCUGUCUCUUAUACA
Molecule: ribosomal RNA, 305 nt
Filed under: uncultured bacterium
Lineage: Bacteria
Description: partial 16S ribosomal RNA
Rfam family: Bacterial small subunit ribosomal RNA
Source: RNAcentral